RNAcentral lists this transfer RNA (72 nucleotides) under Camelus bactrianus (Bactrian camel). It matches the Rfam family "tRNA". Rfam says of the family: Transfer RNA (tRNA) molecules are approximately 80 nucleotides in length. Their secondary structure includes four short double-helical elements and three loops (D, anti-codon, and T loops). RNAcentral also lists the same sequence under 2 other names. The record is from Rfam by way of RNAcentral. Lineage: Eukaryota; Metazoa; Chordata; Mammalia; Artiodactyla; Camelidae.
GAGGGCAUAGCUCAGUGGUAGAGUGUGUGCUUAGCAUGCACAAGGUUCUGUGUUCAAUCCCUAGUCUCUCCA